Molecule: transfer RNA, 77 nt
Filed under: bacterium CG_4_10_14_0_2_um_filter_33_32
Lineage: Bacteria
Also listed under: 5 other names
Description: tRNA-Ile
Rfam family: tRNA
About the family: Transfer RNA (tRNA) molecules are approximately 80 nucleotides in length.
Source: RNAcentral
GGGCGUGUAGCUCAGCUGGUUAGAGCGCUACACUGAUAAUGUAGAGGUCCCUGGUUCAAAUCCAGGCACGCCCACCA